This 509-nucleotide ribosomal RNA is filed under the name uncultured bacterium. RNAcentral describes it as "bacterial SSU rRNA". It matches the Rfam family "Bacterial small subunit ribosomal RNA", at positions 30 to 518 of the family's 1533-position model. The record is from RNAcentral.
CGAACGCUGGCGGCGUGCUUAACACAUGCAAGUCGAACGCGAAAGGGACUUCGGUCCUGAGUAAAGUGGCGCACGGGUGAGUAACGCGUAGAUAACCUGUCUUCAUGGUCUGGAAUAAUACGCCGAAAGGGGUACUAAUACCGGAUAUUCUUGCUUUUCAUAAGUUAUGCAAGCAAAGGUGGCCUCUGCAUAUGCUACUGCAUGAAGAGGGGUCUGCGUACCAUUAGCUAGUAGGUGGGGUAAUGGCCUACCUAGGCGACGAUGGUUAGCGGGUCUGAGAGGAUGAUCCGCCACACUGGCACUGGAACACGGGCCAGACUCCUACGGGAGGCAGCAGUGAGGAAUAUUGCGCAAUGGGGGAAACCCUGACGCAGCGACGCCGCGUGAGUGAGGGAGGCCUUCGGGUCGUAAGGCUCUGUCAAGAGGAAAGAAGUGUACAAUGGCUAAUACCUGUUGUAUUUGACGGUACCUCUAAAGGAAGCACCGGCUAACUCCGUGCCAGCCGCCGC